ACGUUGAAACACCAGUUCCCGUAUGAUCACCGAAGUUAAGCAACAUCAAGUCUGGCCAGUACCUAAAUGGGUGACCGCUUAAGAAUACCAGGUGCUGUAAU
Acanthosepion pharaonis is the source of this 101-nucleotide non-coding RNA. Lineage: Eukaryota; Metazoa; Mollusca; Cephalopoda; Sepiida; Sepiidae. The record is from the annotation of a GenBank genome assembly.